This 73-nucleotide transfer RNA is filed under the name Lentibacillus salicampi. It matches the Rfam family "tRNA". From Rfam's summary of the family: Transfer RNA (tRNA) molecules are approximately 80 nucleotides in length. The record is from Rfam by way of RNAcentral. RNAcentral also lists the same sequence under 21 other names. Lineage: Bacteria; Bacillati; Bacillota; Bacilli; Caryophanales; Bacillaceae.
GAGCCAUUAGCUCAGCUGGCAGAGCAUCUGACUUUUAAUCAGAGGGUCGGAGGUUCGAAUCCUCCAUGGCUCA